AUGGCCAAGAAGAUGAACAAAAGAAAAAAGAUGGUUAGGGGAGCUACUGUUUUUGUUGCACUAGCUGCAAUGGCAGUCAUUAUUCGGGCUAUAAUAAGGAAAAGAAGACCACGCAUUACCUAUGGGCCAAUGCAUGAAAGAGAUCGAAUCAGAUUUGAUUAUCUAAACCAAAAAAUAUGGCAAAGUGAUGUGUUGUGCAAAAACAUGUUAAGGUUUGAAAGAGCUGCAUUUUUUAAUUUGUGUAGCAUAAUAAGGGAUCGCAAGUUGCUAGAAGACAGUCCACAUCUUAGUGUGGAGCAACAAUUGGCGAUGUUUUUGCAUACAAUUGGGCAUAACCUUCGGAAUAGGGUUGUGUCAGCCAAUUUUUGUAGAUCAUACGACACAACCAGCAUCUAUUUUAGAAAGGUUCUUCAUGCCAUAGGCGAGCUUCGUAAUGAUUAUAUACGGCCACCAUCAUUGGAGACCCCCACAAAAAUUGCAGGAAAUCAUCGGUUUGACCCAUAUUUUAAGGUAAUUUCUAAAACUAUUCGUUAG
RNAcentral lists this ribosomal RNA (534 nucleotides) under Triticum aestivum (bread wheat). Its description in RNAcentral is "partial small subunit ribosomal RNA". Lineage: Eukaryota; Viridiplantae; Streptophyta; Magnoliopsida; Poales; Poaceae. The record is from RNAcentral.